This 395-nucleotide unclassified non-coding RNA is filed under the name soil metagenome. RNAcentral describes it as "partial contains 5.8S ribosomal RNA, internal transcribed spacer 2, and large subunit ribosomal RNA". The stretch from base 1 to 122 matches the Rfam family "5.8S ribosomal RNA", at positions 35 to 154 of the family's 154-position model. The record is from RNAcentral.
GAUGAAGAACGUAGCGAAAUGUGAUACUUGGUGUGAAUUGCAGAAUCCCGUGAACCAUCGAGUCUUUGAACGCAAGUUGCGCCCGAAGCCAUCAGGUUGAGGGCACGUCUGCCUGGGCGUCACAUAUCGUUGCCCAAUGCCUAUUGCAGUGCAAUAGGAAUUUCUAGGGCGAAUGAUGGCUUCCCGUGAGCGUUGUUGCCUCGCGGUUGGUUGAAAAUCGAGUCCUUGGUAGGGUGUGCCAUGGUAGAUGGUGGUCGAGUUAGAACGAUACCGAUCAUGUGCAUGCUCCCCAAAAUAUGGCCUCUAUGACCCACACGCGUCUUUUGACGCUCAUGACGAGACCUCAGGUCAGGCGGGGCUACCAGCUGAAUUUAAGCAUAUCAAUAAGCGGAGGA